UACGGGGGGGGCAAGCGUUGUUCGGAAUUACUGGGCGUAAAGGGCUCGUAGGUGGCCAACUAAGUCGGACGUGAAAUCCCUCGGCUUAACCGGGGAACUGCGUCUGAUACUGGAUGGCUUGAGUUUGGGAGAGGGAUGCGGAAUUCCAGGUGUAGCGGUGAAAUGCGUAGAUAUCUGGAGGAACACCGGUGGCGAAGGCGGCAUCCUGGACCAACACUGACACUGAGGAGCGAAAGCCAGGGGAGCAAACGGG
This 253-nucleotide ribosomal RNA is filed under the name uncultured bacterium. RNAcentral describes it as "partial 16S ribosomal RNA". It matches the Rfam family "Bacterial small subunit ribosomal RNA", at positions 524 to 776 of the family's 1533-position model. The record is from RNAcentral.